Molecule: ribosomal RNA, 253 nt
Filed under: uncultured bacterium
Lineage: Bacteria
Description: partial 16S ribosomal RNA
Rfam family: Bacterial small subunit ribosomal RNA
Source: RNAcentral
UACGUAGGCAGCAAGCGUUGUUCGGAGUUACUGGGCGUAAAGGGUGUGUAGGCGGUUCCUUAAGUUUGCUGUGAAAUCUCCCGGCUUAACCGGGAGGGUGCGGUGAAUACUGAGGGACUAGAGUACGGGAGAGGAAAGUGGAAUUCCUGGUGUAGCGGUGAAAUGCGUAGAUAUCUGGAGGAAUACCGGUGGCGAAGGCGGCAUCCUGGACCAUUACUGACGCUGAGGCGCGAAAGCUAGGGGAGCAAACGGG